UGGGGAAUAUUGCACAAUGGGCGCAAGCCUGAUGCAGCCAUGCCGCGUGUAUGAAGAAGGCCUUCGGGUUGUAAAGUACUUUCAGCGAGGAGGAAGGCGUUGUGGUUAAUAACCGCAACGAUUGACGUUACUCGCAGAAGAAGCACCGGCUAACUCCGUGCCAGCAGCCGCGGUAAUAAGGAGGGUGCAAGCGUUAAUCGGAAUUACUGGGCGUAAAGCGCACGCAGGCGGUCUGUCAAGUCGGAUGUGAAAUCCCCGGGCUCAACCUGGGAACUGCAUCCGAAACUGGCAGGCUAGAGUCUUGUAGAGGGGGGUAGAAUUCCAGGUGUAGCGGUGAAAUGCGUAGAGAUCUGGAGGAAUACCGGUGGCGAAGGCGGCCCCCUGGACAAAGACUGACGCUCAGGUGCGAAAGCGUGGGGAGCAAACA
This 427-nucleotide ribosomal RNA is filed under the name uncultured bacterium. RNAcentral's name for it is "partial 16S ribosomal RNA". It matches the Rfam family "Bacterial small subunit ribosomal RNA", at positions 355 to 774 of the family's 1533-position model. The record is from RNAcentral.